CUUGGAUCUCUUCGGCAGCUCAAGUGCAAUACCUUUCCUGCAAUAUAUCCAGCAAGCUACAUUAUCUGGCUUUAAAGAUGUUUUUGAAGGUCAUGAAAAGUGUCAACGCAGACUGGGCAAUGCUGACUUCCUGGACUCUUAUCAUCAGCACUUAUAAGUGCAACAAGGAAUACGUGAAGACUAAUGCUAUUUCAUGGUGUUUCAGCGUGCCCUGCUUUCAAUUUGUUCUGCUGAAAGGAAUUAAUGGCCAAAGUCCAUUUGAAGACAAGCAUGGACAGAAAACAGCUCAGAGUGGUUUGGAACAGAAAAGAAAAGGAAUUCCAGUUUCAUUCUCUGAAAAAUGACUGUUAAUAGGAAGCGAGUGUGAUUCAUGCGCUACAGAUGACAAGAUGUAUUAUUCAAAAAGCAUUCAGCUGAACUAGCAGCCAUUUUGUUUUGUCAAGCUGAAAUUCAAGCAAGGCGAGAGCCAAAUUCAGACAGUGGUGUGGGGGAAUCAUUCCAUUGCUUCAGUGACAGCACCCCCAGCUCGGAGAUAGAGGCUCUCUCCUGCUAGAGUAGGCAGAUAGGGAGAUACAUGCAUACACACAUACAGGGCCAAAUCUUCAGCUGGUGUAAACCAAAACAGCUUCUGUGCCAUCAGUUCUAAGGGUCAGUGAUGUCGACGCUAUGAACUAGAAAUCAGCAUACUUCAGUUAAAGCCAUUUCAGUUAAACACAGACAUAAAAAGCAGAGAAUCUGGCUAUGACUACACUACCGCUCACAUCAAUAAAACUUUUGUCGGUCAGAGGUAUGAAAAACACACACCCCUCCCCCGACCGAUUGACAAAAGUUUUACCGAAAAAAGUGCCAGUGUAGACAGCGCUUUGUUGAUGGGUGAUGCUCUCCCGCCAACAAAGCUACUGCCCCUCGCUAGGGAGUAGUUUUAUUUUGUCAGCAGGAGAGCUCUCUGCCUUCUGUCUGCUGCCUUCCAUCCCAGAAGUGACUGCAAAAUGCCUUGGGAUCCCUUGCUGGUGAAAUGGAAUUUUUACAUUCUUCCCAUUACUCCUAAUCUAAAUCAAUCACUGCAAACUGAUAAUCUCUAUGGAGCAAAGAAGCACUCUUCGGCAACAGCUUGACUAAUGUUUUCCGUUGAUAAGAGGCUCAGGUAAUAGAACCGCAUGGAUGUGCUAUGGUUUAAUAAUCUCAGCCA
Molecule: long non-coding RNA, 1189 nt
Organism: Malaclemys terrapin pileata
Lineage: Eukaryota; Metazoa; Chordata; Testudines; Emydidae
Exons: 3
Source: RefSeq, a predicted model, not a curated record